RNAcentral lists this ribosomal RNA (119 nucleotides) under Triticum dicoccoides. The record is from RNAcentral. Lineage: Eukaryota; Viridiplantae; Streptophyta; Magnoliopsida; Poales; Poaceae.
GGAUACGAUCAUACCAGCACUAAAGCACCGGAUCCCAUCAGAACUCCGAAGUUAAGCGUGCUUGGGCAAGAGUAGUACUAGGAUGGGUGACCUCCUGGGAAGUCCUCGUGUUGCAUUCC